CGUUGAAACACCGGUUUCCGUACGAUCACUAAAGUUAAGCAACGUCGAACUUGAUCAGUAACUAGAUAGGUGACGGCUUGGAAAUACCAGUUGUUGUAA
This is a non-coding RNA of Acanthosepion pharaonis, 99 nucleotides long. The record is from the annotation of a GenBank genome assembly. Lineage: Eukaryota; Metazoa; Mollusca; Cephalopoda; Sepiida; Sepiidae.